AAACGGCUCCCUCCAGGGCAAGGCGGUGCCAGUGGGACUCCAUGGGGUCUUCCGAGACACCGCCGCGGGCCUGGCGGAGCGAGGGGCGCCUUGCGCAGCGGGGUAGGGGGUGGGGCGCUCGGGGUCUGGUGAAGUGGAGGGGAGAAGCGCCCUGUGCCCAGAGAUGGAGGGGGUGUCAAACGUGCCUGGCAGAGAAACAACUUCCUGCUCCCCGGGCCCAGGGCGCAGAAGCUGCGGGAGAAGUUACAGGCCGAAGCCUUGCUCUCCGAGCUUAGAACUGCGCUGCUGCCCGGGGUCCUUCCCGCCCCUGCAGGGGGUCGCUCCUGGCCGGGCUCCAGGGUCCAGGCAGGGUCAGAGUGCCUGCGAGGCCACAGCAGCUUUUGUUGCCGGCUCUGGGGGGGGGGGGCGCCUGAGGGUCCCCCCACCCCCAGAGGGGUCAGCUUGAGCUUAUGGCACUAGAAGAUUCUGACAGGGGUCACUGUGCUCAUAACCCCAUCUUCCUGCCAGGGCUGCCCGCUCAGAGCCAGGUGGGCCUGGCUGUCCUCAAGCACCCAUGUAGACUGCCCCGAAGAAGGGAGGCCUCCUGGGCCCCAUCCCAAUGGCUCUGCCUGUCCCCCCCCCGCCCCGACCGGCCUUGGCAUUCUCACUACAGUGUCCCCUUGACGUCACAUCUCGCCAUUUCUGUGAACCAAUGGAAACUUGCCUGCUGUCAUAAAUAUAUAUAUACUUUUUAUGCUA
Long non-coding RNA from Myotis davidii, 738 nucleotides. RefSeq lists it as uncharacterized. The transcript is spliced from 4 exons. The record is from RefSeq and is a predicted model, not a curated record. Lineage: Eukaryota; Metazoa; Chordata; Mammalia; Chiroptera; Vespertilionidae.